CCGCGCAGUCUAAUGAUGUCGGGAGCCGGAAUAUGACAUCAUUCCGGCCCCAGAAUCAUUACAGAGCGCGUGGGAGCAUAGAGGAGCUACAAACAGAGUAGUGCUCCCUCGCACACAGGAAGAGUGCAGCCCCUCUGGACCCCAGGAAAUACCCACUCAGCUAUCCCAAAGAUAGGGAGGCUGAGUCGGUUUUUAAUUAAAACAAAAAUGUGUGUGUGUGUAUAAGCCUGUGUGAGUCUGUCAAGAGUGUGUGUGUGUUUGUGAGAGAGUCUGUCAGAGUGUGUGUGAGACUGUGUGUGUGUAAGCCUGUCAGUGUGUGUGUGAGCAUGUCAGAGUGUGUGUGUGUGUGUGAGCCUGUCAGUGUGUGUGCGUCAGCCUGUCAGUGUGUGUGUGUGUGCGCCGGUCAGAGUGUGUAUGUGUUUGUGAGAGAGUCUGUCAGAGUGUGUGUGAGACUGUGUGUGUGUGUCAGCCUGUCAGUGUGUGUGUGAGCCUGUCAGUGUGUGAGCCUGUCAGAGUGUGUGUGAGCCUGUCAGAGUGUGUGUGUGUGAGACUGUCAGUGUGUGUGUGUGUGAGACUGUCAGUGUGUGUGUCAGCCUGUCAGAGUGUGUGUGUGUUUGUGAGAGAGUCUGUCAGAGUGUGUGUGAGACUGUGUGUGUGUGUGUCAGCCUGUCAGUGUGUGUGUGUGUGAGCCUGUCAGAGUGUGUGUGUGUGUGUGAGCCUGUCAGAGUGUCUGUAUGUGUGUGUGUGUGUGUGUGAGAGCGAGAGCCUGUCAAGAGAGUGUGAGUGAGCGCCUGUCAGAGUUUGUGUGUGCGAGUCUGUCAGUGUCUGCGUGCAAGUCUGUUGUCAGUGUAAGAGUGUGUGAGAGCCUGUCAAAACGUGUGCAUGCAAGCCUGUUGUCAGCAUGAGUGUGUGAGAGCCUGUCAAGAGUUUGUGUGUCAGCCUGUCAGUGUGUGUGUGUGAGCCUGUCAGUGUGUGUGUGUGUUUGUGAGAGAGUCUGUCAGAGUGUGUGUGAGACUGUGUGUGUGUGUCAGCGUGUGUGUGUGUCAGUCUGUCAGUGUGUGUGUGUGUGUCAGCCUGUCAGUGUGUGUGUGAGCCUGUCAGAGUGUGUGUGUG
Pelobates cultripes (western spadefoot toad) is the source of this 1113-nucleotide non-coding RNA. NCBI's taxonomy places the organism in Eukaryota, Metazoa, Chordata, Amphibia, Anura, Pelobatidae. The record is from the annotation of a GenBank genome assembly.